RNAcentral lists this ribosomal RNA (103 nucleotides) under Lepidothrix coronata (blue-crowned manakin). The record is from RNAcentral. Lineage: Eukaryota; Metazoa; Chordata; Aves; Passeriformes; Pipridae.
GGCUUCAGAGAAUCAAGAAGUAUUUCUUCAACAGGGCCUUACGGAAGACUUGGAAGUUGUACUCGGAUGGGAGACUGCCUGGGAAUACUGAGUGCUGGAGGCU